Non-coding RNA from Salmo salar (Atlantic salmon), 54 nucleotides. Lineage: Eukaryota; Metazoa; Chordata; Actinopteri; Salmoniformes; Salmonidae. The record is from Rfam.
GGUUUCACAACUUGUAAGUUGCUCUGGAUAAGAGCGUCUGCUAAAUGACUUAAA